GCCGCGGCCCGGGUUCGAUUCCCGGUCAGGGAACGCAGGAAUGGCAUGAGGUGAGUCGGCUGCGACAAUAGCGAUGCCAGUCGUUUAGUUUGUUAGCGGUGAUCAGUGUAUGGCUCCCUGAAGGUCCAGUGGCGAGUACUGGGCACUCUCACCGCCGCGGCCCGGGCUCGAUUCCCAGUCAGGAAAGCUGGUCUUACCACUAUCAGGCACUUGUGUGUGACCUCCCAAGGCACCAUCCAAUCCCCAUCUGAUGAGGAAUAACUGUACGUACACAGAAGAUGGAUAGAGGUUUCCCCCGAAAAGUGAAAGGCGUGCAAUCAGCGACCUAGGAGGAGCCCGAGUCCCUGUGGAUCGGACAGGACUUUGAACCCCAUCAGCUUGGCGGGAAGCAGCCACCAUCACAACCGUGGCAAGUACUUACCGAAACACAACAUGUCCGUUUUCAUACAAGCCUCGCGUCGUUUUCCACGCUUUUGAAAGACCGCACUGCGAGUGAUUUAACACAGCUUCACAUUGCUCCUGAAGACAAGCUGACUGUUCUGCAGACUUUUCAGAUCAUGCAUUGGCCGGGAAUCGAACCCGGGUCAACUGCUUGGGAAGCAGCUAUGCUCGCCACUAUACCACCAACGCCAUGGGAAGCCCCUUUGCAAUGCCAGCACACACGAUGGAGACGCAACAGCACGUGCACUGAAGUUCAGAAAGUCGACUAUUUGUGAGUCCAGAAUGCCAUUUGCAAGCACUGCCCUCCUCCAUUUCAGCAGUUUUCAAAAGCCGCGCAGCACAAACGUUUUGGUUCAGUUCAUCACCUUAAGAGCGCACGCCCAUCUGAUGACGGAAGGAACGGAUAAAGGUUGAGGCCUCCGUAGUUGGCAGGAUUCGAACCUGCGCGGGGAAACCCCAAUGGAUUUCUAGUCCAUCGCCUUGACCACUCGGCCACAACUAUCUCCCCUCCGCUUUUCAAAGGGUUGAGGCAACAUUACAGAUUUUAAAGGACCAUGUUUACAGUGUCAGCCCAAUUGGAUUAAACAGGCUGCUGUGAAUAUGAGAGCAACCAUAACUUGCACGCAUGAGAAUAUCAGCCACAAACAUCUUAAGCAGGACUGCCGCUAGAUUUGAACCCUGUGAAAGGUCUUUUCCACGAGCACAAGUUUUGAUCUAACAUGACCUAAUCUGUCUGUCUGUGUAAAAUCAGGGAAUUCUCAAAUCUAGUGUGGUUGAUAGCUUGACGCAAAGAGCCUGUGAGUGCUUCUUGUCGUUCACAGCAGAGAAAAUACAGUUUGUCAUCAAGCCCAAUCAAGUGGGCUGUCACACAUACGGGCUAUUUAAAAUACGAUGAAUUGCCUGCUUAUUAGAAAGUUCAGUCACUGAGACAAAAAAGGCAAAGUUUUGGAGAGGGUGACAAUUGUUUGAUCCAGGCCUGUUUCCUCCAGUUGGGGGUAAGCGGCUCCCUGAUGGUCUAGUGGCUAGGAUUCGCCACUCUCACUGCCGCGGCCGGGGUUCGAUUCCCGGUUAGGAAAGCUCGUCUUACAACACGCUUGUGUGUGUGACCUCCCAAGGCUGCUUGUCUGGCUUUCUCCCAAGGCAUGAUCCAAUACCCAUCUCUGAUCUUGAUCUUCCUUUAAAAUGUGUGUUGUCGCCAGGGGAAUGGGUGAAGCAGGAUUGGCAUCAGGCUGGUGCUACCAGCCAAGGCAGCAGAAGUGAGUAACAUGGAGGUCUUAGGCCAGGAAGUCUGCACAGAGAUUGCUUGCAUCGAGGCCUGUGAGAGGGCAUAGCAUGUAUGAAAUAGAGCACACACAUUCCAGUAAAAUAAAAUUUUUACUCACCCAUCUGGAAAGGACACGGAUGAUUUCUAAGAUAGCACUUGGUAGAUUUGUGUAUUCUCAUGCUUAACUAUCAUAAUGAUGGUCUAGAUGAUAAUUCAGUGGAACUCCUACAUGCUUGUAAAGAUGUACAAUGCAAUUAUGUAGGAAAAAUUAUUUUGACCUGAUAAGAGAUCAUCAGGUGCUUUUUGGCUUAUUGCCUUCAUCAGGAUACAUACAUACACAGACAUCAAAAACACAUGUUCUGCUGCCACACAGAGGACUGUGACUUUGGGUGAAAACUUGUCUGUGUUUUGACUGCAGGCUAACAAGGCCUUCUCAUUCCUUUCACACCAUUACAGCUUCCAUUAAAGACAGAGAGAGAGAUGGGUAGAAAGCAAUGAUUAGAGGAGAGUGCAGUCCAGAAAGAGAGAGUCAUGAAAGAGGACGAGAUGAAGACAGAUAGACAAAGUGUAGAGCAACACUGGAAGAAAGAGGAGGAGUGUUUCACAGUCACACCCCAGAAAUGAAAGUGAACCAAAACAAUUUCACUACAGAAGACAAAAGUCUAUUCAUCCUUCACCAGCGUACCUUCAUACGUUGCAGACUUGCACACAGACAAGGCAGCAGCCAGCAGUUUCCUCUUUGAAGAUCAGUUUCUAUGUUCCAUCUGUCUGGAUGUGUUCAUUGAUCCAGUCACCAUACCAUGUGGACACAACUUCUGCAAGACCUGCAUCACAGAACACUAGAAUAUUAAUGUCCAAAAUAAUUGUCCCAUGUGUAAAAAGAUUUUCAACAUGAGACCUGAACUGCAAAUCAACACAUUAAUAUCUUAGAUGGCUGCUCAGUUCAGACAGUCAGCUGGGAAGAAAACCAGCAAAUACUCAAAGCAACAAUGUACCAACACAGGAGAAGUACUCUGUGACAUCUGCACUGAAACUAAACUGAAGGCUGUGAAGUCCUGCCUGGUGUGUCUGACCUCCUACUGUGAGACUCACCUGGAGCAUCAUCAGAGAAUCCCACGCCUGAAAAGACAUAAACUGAUCGAUCCUGUGGAGAACCUGGAAGACAGAAUGUGUAAGAAGCAUGAUCGACCUCUGGAGCUGUUCUGCAAGACUGACCAGAUAUGUGUUUGUUAGUUCUGCACUGAGUCUAGUCACAUAUUUCAUCAUUUUGCUCCUGUGAUAGAAGAAUAUGAGGGGAAGAAGGUUGCACUGGGGAAAACAGAGGCUGGAAUUCAGAAGAUGAUCCAGGAGAGACGACUGAAGAUUCAGCAGAUCAAAUAGUGAAGCUCAGCAAGGAAGAUGCAGACAGAGAGACAGCAGCCAGUGUGCAGGUCUUCACUGCUCUGAUCCAGUCUGUUGAGAGAGGUCUGGCUCAGCUCAUUGACAUGAUUGAAGAGAAGCAGAAAACUACAGAGAAACAGGCUGAAGGCUUCGUCAAAGAGCUGGAAGAGGAAAUCUCUGAGCUGAUGGCCCCCUUACUGGCCCUCCUGUCCUCCUCUCUCUGAAGUUGAAGCCUCAGAAGGUGGGGGUGUUUGUGGAUUAUGAGGAGGGUCUGGUCUCCUUUUAUGAUGUAGAUGCUGCAACUCUUAUCUACUUGUAACUUCACUAACUUUACUAACUCGUAACUUCACUGAGAAACUCUAUCUGAUCUUUAGUUCCUGUACUAAUGAUGGUGGUAAAAACUGUGUCCCUCUGAUCAUCUCUCUUGUCAUUCAAACUAAUUAGACUUGUGCUUUGAUUGUUUUGAUGUACUUACAUAACCAGUGGUAAUGAAUCAUACAUAAUUUCAUACAUGUUUUGUAUAUAUACAUAUAUACAUAAUUUGUAUAUUCAGAGUCUGGUUAAUGUGGUUAUUACUUAAGUCUUUGUUAUAUCUAUUGAUAUUUUAAGAUUCCAUUACAUUUUUCUGUGGUUUAUUCCAGUACAACUUACUGAUGUGACACCUAUUUACUGACAGUAAUUCAUAGAAUAUUUUUCAUGUAAUAAUAAUAGUGUAAUAGUGCAUCACACAAUACUGCCAUCUUCAAUCAGAAGCAGUUGAAAAAACUAUUUAAAUAUGACAAAU
This is a long non-coding RNA of Thunnus maccoyii (southern bluefin tuna), 3869 nucleotides long. RefSeq lists it as uncharacterized. The record is from RefSeq and is a predicted model, not a curated record. NCBI's taxonomy places the organism in Eukaryota, Metazoa, Chordata, Actinopteri, Scombriformes, Scombridae. The transcript has 3 exons.